This 404-nucleotide ribosomal RNA is filed under the name uncultured bacterium. RNAcentral describes it as "bacterial SSU rRNA". It matches the Rfam family "Bacterial small subunit ribosomal RNA", at positions 355 to 776 of the family's 1533-position model. The record is from RNAcentral.
UGGGGAAUCUUGGACAAUGGGCGAAAGCCUGAUCCAGCGACGCCGCGUGGGUGAUGAAGGCCUUCGGGUUGUAAAGCCCUUUUCCCAGGGAAGAUGAUGACGGUACCUGGGGAAUAAGCACCGGCUAACUCCGUGCCAGCAGCCGCGGUAAGACGGAGGGUGCUAGCGUUGUUCGGAAUCACUGGGCGUAAAGGGCGCGUAGGCGGCCUGUUAAGUCGGAUGUGAAAGCCCGGGGCUCAACCCCGGAACUGCAUCCGAGACUGGCAGGCUUGAGACCGGGAGAGGAGGGUGGAAUAUCCAGUGUAGAGGUGAAAUUCGUAGAUAUUGGAUGGAACACCGGUGGCGAAAGCGGCUCUCUGGCCCGGAUCUGACGCUGAGGCGCGAAAGCGUGGGGAGCAAACAGG